RNAcentral lists this ribosomal RNA (467 nucleotides) under uncultured Methanosaeta sp. RNAcentral describes it as "bacterial SSU rRNA". It matches the Rfam family "Archaeal small subunit ribosomal RNA", at positions 875 to 1338 of the family's 1478-position model. Lineage: Archaea; Methanobacteriati; Methanobacteriota; Methanomicrobia; Methanotrichales; Methanotrichaceae. The record is from RNAcentral.
AGCACCACGAACGGGUGGAGUCUUGUCGGUUUAAUUGGAUUCAACGCCGGAAAUCUUACCGGGACCGACAGCAAUAUGAAGGCCAGGCUGAAGACUUUGCCGGAUUAGCUGAGAGGUGGUGCAUGGCCGUCGUCAGUUCGUACUGUGAAGCAUCCUGUUAAGUCAGGCAACGAGCGAGACCCACGCCCACAGUUGCCAGCGUACUCUCUGGAGUGACGGGUACACUGUGGGGACCGCCGCUGCUAAAGCGGAGGAAGGAAUGGGCAACGGUAGGUCAGUAUGCCCCGAAUAUCCCGGGCUACACGCGAGCUACAAUGGUUGGUACAAUGGGUAUCUACCCCGAAAGGGGACGGGAAUCUCCUAAAACCAAUCUUAGUUCGGAUUGAGGGCUGCAACUCGCCCUCAUGAAGCUGGAAUCCGUAGUAAUCGCGUUUCAACAGAACGCGGUGAAUACGUCCCUGCUCCUU